AGUGAACGCUGGCGGUAGGCCUAACACAUGCAAGUCGAACGGCAGCACAGUAAGAGCUUGCUCUUACGGGUGGCGAGUGGCGGACGGGUGAGAAAUACAUCGGCAUCUACUUUUUCGUGGGGGAUAACGUAGGGAAACUUACGCUACUACCGCAUAUGACCUACGGGUGAAAGCAGGGGAUCUUCGCACCUUUCGCGUCUGAAUGAGCCGAUGUCGGAUUAGCUAGUUGGCGGGGUAAAGGCCCACCAAGGCGACGAUGCGUAGCUGGUCUGAGAGGAUGAUCAGCCACACUGGAACUGAGACACGGUCCAGACUCCUACGGGAGGCAGCAGUGGGGAAUAUUGGACAAUGGGCGCAAGCCUGACCCAGCCAUACCGCGUGGGUGAAGAAGGCCUUCGGGUUGUAAAGCCCUUUUGUUGGGAAAGAAAAGCAGCAGGUUAAUACCCCGCUGUUCUGACGGUACCCAAAGAAUAAGCAACGGCUAACUUCGUG
This 492-nucleotide ribosomal RNA is filed under the name uncultured bacterium. RNAcentral's name for it is "partial 16S ribosomal RNA". It matches the Rfam family "Bacterial small subunit ribosomal RNA", at positions 29 to 507 of the family's 1533-position model. The record is from RNAcentral.